GCGGCUGUAGCUUAGUCUGGCUCAAAGCACCUGCCUGUCGAGCAGGGGAUCGUGGGUUCGAAUCCCAUCAGUCGCGC
RNAcentral lists this transfer RNA (77 nucleotides) under Gordonia phage Forza. Its description in RNAcentral is "tRNA-Asp". It matches the Rfam family "tRNA". Rfam says of the family: Transfer RNA (tRNA) molecules are approximately 80 nucleotides in length. Their secondary structure includes four short double-helical elements and three loops (D, anti-codon, and T loops). Further hydrogen bonds mediate the characteristic L-shaped molecular structure. tRNAs have two regions of fundamental functional importance: the anti-codon, which is responsible for specific mRNA codon recognition, and the 3' end, to which the tRNAs corresponding amino acid is attached (by aminoacyl-tRNA synthetases). tRNAs cope with the degeneracy of the genetic code in two manners: having more than one tRNA (with a specific anti-codon) for a particular amino acid; and 'wobble' base-pairing, i.e. permitting non-standard base-pairing at the 3rd anti-codon position. Lineage: Duplodnaviria; Heunggongvirae; Uroviricota; Caudoviricetes. The record is from RNAcentral. RNAcentral also lists the same sequence under 3 other names.